This 884-nucleotide ribosomal RNA is filed under the name Salmonella enterica. Its description in RNAcentral is "partial 23S ribosomal RNA". It matches the Rfam family "Bacterial large subunit ribosomal RNA", at positions 670 to 1554 of the family's 2925-position model. The record is from RNAcentral. Lineage: Bacteria; Pseudomonadati; Pseudomonadota; Gammaproteobacteria; Enterobacterales; Enterobacteriaceae. RNAcentral also lists the same sequence under 1 other name.
AGGGAAACCGAGUCUUAACUGGGCGUUAAGUUGCAGGGUAUAGACCCGAAACCCGGUGAUCUAGCCAUGGGCAGGUUGAAGGUUGGGUAACACUAACUGGAGGACCGAACCGACUAAUGUUGAAAAAUUAGCGGAUGACUUGUGGCUGGGGGUGAAAGGCCAAUCAAACCGGGAGAUAGCUGGUUCUCCCCGAAAGCUAUUUAGGUAGCGCCUCGUGAACUCAUCUUCGGGGGUAGAGCACUGUUUCGGCUAGGGGGUCAUCCCGACUUACCAACCCGAUGCAAACUGCGAAUACCGAAGAAUGUUAUCACGGGAGACACACGGCGGGUGCUAACGUCCGUCGUGAAGAGGGAAACAACCCAGACCGCCAGCUAAGGUCCCAAAGUCACAGUUAAGUGGGAAACGAUGUGGGAAGGCCCAGACAGCCAGGAUGUUGGCUUAGAAGCAGCCAUCAUUUAAAGAAAGCGUAAUAGCUCACUGGUCGAGUCGGCCUGCGCGGAAGAUGUAACGGGGCUAAACUGUGCACCGAAGCUGCGGCAGCGACGCUUAUGCGUUGUUGGGUAGGGGAGCGUUCUGUAAGCCUGCGAAGGUGUCCUGUGAGGGAUGCUGGAGGUAUCAGAAGUGCGAAUGCUGACAUAAGUAACGAUAAUGCGGGUGAAAAGCCCGCUCGCCGGAAGACCAAGGGUUCCUGUCCAACGUUAAUCGGGGCAGGGUGAGUCGACCCCUAAGGCGAGGCCGAAAGGCGUAGUCGAUGGGAAACGGGUUAAUAUUCCCGUACUUGGUGUUACUGCGAAGGGGGGACGGAGAAGGCUAUGUUGGCCGGGCGACGGUUGUCCCGGUUUAAGCGUGUAGGCUGGUUUUCCAGGCAAAUCCGGAAAAUCAAG